This 364-nucleotide long non-coding RNA is filed under the name Linum usitatissimum (flax). RNAcentral's name for it is "long non-coding RNA (LUSI_LNC001289)". The record is from RNAcentral. Lineage: Eukaryota; Viridiplantae; Streptophyta; Magnoliopsida; Malpighiales; Linaceae.
AAUCCCUUUCAUGUCCUUAUCAACCGAAAUCCUCUUCGGGUUGUCAAGCACUAUACCUUCAAAGCUCCAUUUUAAAGGCUUGUUGUUGUUGUUGUUGUUCUCCAUGGUCAACUCUAUAGAGUGAAGUUCACUAUCAUCACCCGAAUCAUCAUCACCCCCCUCGAUAACUUCUGCAUCAAGACUCUCCCUCGACUUCUGCAACGCCCCGAAUUCGAUCUCCUUCAAGUAAGCCUCGAGCUCCUUGAUCCUAUCAUAAUCAGGACGCGAGUACUCCUCUCCAUGAUGAUCUUCCUUGCCAUACAAGUAACACUCAAGCUCAUUCUUCAACCGAUCGACAGCAGCAUUCUUCUCUUCGAAAAGAUAC